RNAcentral lists this ribosomal RNA (293 nucleotides) under uncultured prokaryote. Its description in RNAcentral is "partial 16S ribosomal RNA". It matches the Rfam family "Archaeal small subunit ribosomal RNA", at positions 455 to 747 of the family's 1478-position model. The record is from RNAcentral.
GUGUCAGCCGCCGCGGUAAUACCGGCAGCACGAGUGAUGGCCGAUAUUAUUGGGCCUAAAGCGUCCGUAGCCGGCCAGACAAGUCCGUUGGGAAAUCGGCGUGCCUAACACGUCGGCGUCCAGCGGAAACUGUUUGGCUUGGGGCCAGAAGAUCCGAGGGGUACGUCCGGGGUAGGAGUGAAAUCCCGUAAUCCUGGACGGACCACCGGUGGCGAAAGCGCCUCGGAAAGAUGGACCCGACGGUGAGGGACGAAAGCUGGGGUCUCGAACCGGAUUAGAAACCCCCGUAGUCC